This 173-nucleotide small RNA is filed under the name Arabidopsis thaliana (thale cress). RNAcentral's name for it is "ATSL173320". Lineage: Eukaryota; Viridiplantae; Streptophyta; Magnoliopsida; Brassicales; Brassicaceae. The record is from RNAcentral.
AAUAAAUAAUGUACCAACGUGCUGUUGGCCUAGUGGUAAAUUUCCCAGAUGUAGGUGAUGUGUUCGAGGCACGUUGGGAGGGAUCUCUUCUCCACAGGAGAUGAAUUUAACCUGUUGUGGGUCCCGCUUCUGGGAGAUGUAGGAUCUUUGAGCUUGAAAUUUUAGAUAUUUAA